RNAcentral lists this non-coding RNA (205 nucleotides) under Jeotgalibaca dankookensis. RNAcentral's name for it is "T-box sequence". It matches the Rfam family "T-box leader". From Rfam's summary of the family: Uncharged tRNA acts as the effector for transcription antitermination of genes in the T-box leader family. T-boxes are found upstream of many aminoacyl-tRNA synthetase genes and some amino acid biosynthetic genes usually in Gram-positive bacteria. The anticodon of a specific tRNA base pairs to a specifier sequence within the T-box motif, and the NCCA acceptor tail of the tRNA base pairs to a conserved bulge in the T-box antiterminator hairpin. The record is from RNAcentral. Lineage: Bacteria; Bacillati; Bacillota; Bacilli; Lactobacillales; Carnobacteriaceae.
UUAUUUCCUAUGAAGACAAAAGUAAUAGUUGUUUGUGUUGUUUAGAGAGAAUAGGCCGUGGCUGAAAGCUUAUUCCAAUAAAGCAAAUAUGAAAGACAAGUCGGAGGAUUGAUAGUGCAAAGCUAUCACGCAGCAGGCGUUAUUUGCAAAAGGAGAGCAAUAACUCUCAAAAAAAGGUGGUACCACGUCCUCAAACGUCCUUUCC